CGAAGCACUUUGCAGCGGACUGGAGAGCUUGCUCAAAGGGAAGCAGCAUUUGACUGAGUGGCGGACGGGUGAGUAACGCGUGGAUAACCUGCCUCAUACAGGGGGAUAACAGUUGGAAACGGCUGUUAAUACCGCAUAAGCGCACGAAACCGCAUGGUUUUGUGUGAAAAACUCCGGUGGUAUGAGAUGGGUCCGCGUCUGAUUAGCUAGUUGGCAGGGUAACGGCCUACCAAGGCGACGAUCAGUAGCCGGCCUGAGAGGGUGUACGGCCACAUUGGGACUGAGACACGGCCCAAACUCCUACGGGAGGCAGCAGUGGGGAAUAUUGCACAAUGGGGGAAACCCUGAUGCAGCGACGCCGCGUGGGUGAAGAAGUAUUUCGGUAUGUAAAGCCCUAUCAGCAGGGAAGAAAAUGACGGUACCUGACUAAGAAGCCCCGGCUAACUACGUGCCAGCAGCCGCGGUAAUACGUAGGGGGCAAGCGUUAUCCGGAUUUACUGGGUGUAAAGGGAGCGUAGGUGGCGUGCCAAGUCAGGAGUGAAAACCCAGGGCCCAACCCUGGGACUGCUCUUGAAACUGGCAGGCUUGAGUGCUGGAGAGGUAAGCGGAAUUCCUAGUGUAGCGGUGAAAUGCGUAGAUAUUAGGAGGAACAC
RNAcentral lists this ribosomal RNA (653 nucleotides) under uncultured bacterium. RNAcentral describes it as "bacterial SSU rRNA". It matches the Rfam family "Bacterial small subunit ribosomal RNA", at positions 47 to 709 of the family's 1533-position model. The record is from RNAcentral.